AGGGACUUCCUCUGUUUUUCUAUCAAUUUGAGCACCUCAGUUUCCUAUGGAGACACAAUGCAAGGACUCAUGGUCGAUCUCUUUAGCUGAACCAUUCUUCAACUCAGAAAACAAAAUGGCGUUCACCAUCAUUGUGGCGCUCAAGCAGGCGGGCAUUCGUUCUAUUAGGCGUCCACGUGUCAUCGUCAAUCGGAACAGGGUAUGCAAAGGAUGAAGUUUACAGCCGGCCGGCCUCCACCGACUUUUUUUUCCCAUUUCUUGGUUGGAAAUAAUCACUUAC
Molecule: long non-coding RNA, 280 nt
Filed under: Setaria viridis
Lineage: Eukaryota; Viridiplantae; Streptophyta; Magnoliopsida; Poales; Poaceae
Description: long non-coding RNA (SVIR_LNC006342)
Source: RNAcentral